GUGUCAGCCGCCGCGGUAAUACGUAGGUGGCAAGCGUUGUCCGGAUUUACUGGGCGUAAAGAGCGCGCAGGCGGUCGUUCAAGUCGCGUGUGAAAGCCCCCGGCUCAACUGGGGAGGGUCACGCGAUACUGAUCGACUCGAAGGCAGGAGAGGGUAGUGGAAUUCCCGGUGUAGUGGUGAAAUGCGUAGAUAUCGGGAGGAACACCAGUGGCGAAGGCGACUACCUGGCCUGUUCUUGACGCUGAGGCGCGAAAGCUAGGGGAGCAAACGGGAUUAGAUACCCCCGUAGUCC
RNAcentral lists this ribosomal RNA (292 nucleotides) under uncultured bacterium. RNAcentral's name for it is "partial 16S ribosomal RNA". It matches the Rfam family "Bacterial small subunit ribosomal RNA", at positions 505 to 796 of the family's 1533-position model. The record is from RNAcentral.